GUCAGGUGUGGUGGCACACACCUGUAGUCCCAGUGGCUUUGGAGGCUGAGGCAGGAGGAUUGUAAGUUCAAAUCCAGCCUCAGCAAUUUAGCGAGGUCCUAAGCAACUCAGUGAGAUCCUGUCUCUA
Molecule: small RNA, 127 nt
Filed under: Marmota monax (woodchuck)
Lineage: Eukaryota; Metazoa; Chordata; Mammalia; Rodentia; Sciuridae
Source: RNAcentral